CAGUGGCGGCGACCGCAGCGGCUGGAGCCAGAGAAGGAGGCGGAGGCAGCGGCGGCCGCGAGGGGAGGGGGAGACCCGUCUGACUGAGACGGCAGGCCUGGGCGGGGGUGCCGCGCAGGGCGGAGCGCCGGGCUGGGGAUGAGCUAAGCGGGCUCAGGGCGCCGCGGCAGUCAGCCCCUCGUGUCCCGCCGCCGCUCGUGAGGGGACGGGGCACCCCUCUCCAAGCUCGACCCGCUGCUGGCGCGGGAGCCAGCCGUGAGUAUUAUAUCUCAAACUCUGAGGCUUGCAGAAUUCAGAAAUUGAGAUCUGGCAACAUUUUCAAAGAGAGACCUUCAGUAAUGUAAUUAGCCUAGGUAGCAAAUGCUUAUUAACUACUUUGACCUAAUGAAGUGAUAGAGGAAGUAAAAAAGAUUCUGAAUUGAUUGGGCAGAGAUUGAAAGGGAGAAAAACAGUCUCCAUUAGUUGCUG
Non-coding RNA from Ceratotherium simum simum (southern white rhinoceros), 468 nucleotides. NCBI's taxonomy places the organism in Eukaryota, Metazoa, Chordata, Mammalia, Perissodactyla, Rhinocerotidae. The record is from RefSeq and is a predicted model, not a curated record.